CGGCUCAGUAACACGUGGAUAACCUACCCUCAGAUCUGGGAUAACUCCGGGAAACUGGAGAUAAUACCGGAUAAUCCGUGAACGCUGGAAUGCCUUACGGUUGAAAGCUUUAGCGUCUGAGGAUGGGUCUGCGGCCGAUUAGGUAGUUGCUGGGGUAACGUCCCAACAAGCCGAUAAUCGGUACGGGUUGUGAGAGCAAGAGCCCGGAGAUGGAUUCUGAGACACGAAUCCAGGUCCUACGGGGCGCAGCAGGCGCGAAAACUUUACACUGCGCGAAAGCGCGAUAAGGGGACCUCGAGUGCGUGCGCAAAGCGUACGCUUUUCAGAUGCCUAAAAAGCAUCUGGAAUAAGGGCCGGGCAAGACCGGUGCCAGCCGCCGCGGUAACACCGGCGGCUCAAGUGGUGGCCGCUAUUAUUGGGCUUAAAGGGUCCGUAGCCGGACCAGUUAGUCCCUUGGGAAAUCUUACGGCUUAACCGUAAGGCUGCCAAUGGAUACUGCUGGUCUUGGGACCGGGAGAGGCAAGAGGUACCUCAGGGGUAGGAGUGAAAUCCUGUAAUCCUUGAGGGACCGCCAGUGGCGAAGGCGUCUUGCUAGAACGGGUCCGACGGUGAGGGACGAAAGCUAGGGGCACGAACCGGAUUAGAUACCCGGGUAGUCCUAGC
Molecule: ribosomal RNA, 663 nt
Filed under: uncultured euryarchaeote
Lineage: Archaea; Methanobacteriati; Methanobacteriota
Description: bacterial SSU rRNA
Rfam family: Archaeal small subunit ribosomal RNA
Source: RNAcentral